Molecule: long non-coding RNA, 1830 nt
Organism: Serinus canaria (Common canary)
Lineage: Eukaryota; Metazoa; Chordata; Aves; Passeriformes; Fringillidae
Exons: 3
Source: RefSeq, a predicted model, not a curated record
GGGAGGCGGCCGCGAAGCGUGUCUUACUGGUUCCUCAGGUUUGAAAAAAAAUUAAAUAAAAAAUUAAAGCUGUAAUUGCGCGCAGAGCUCUGGGAAGAAUUGGCUCGGUUUGCUCUGAGUGUUGAUGUUGUAGCACUCGGUGUCACGCUGUUACUUUCGGCGCUGCCGCCGUGACUCCUCACCUACAGCCGUCGGAGUUGGGCCGUGUUAGUAAGGUUGCGCUGCAUGCGACUGAAUGCAAUGGCUGGCGCUGUGCGCAUUAAAAACGAAGAUACGGCACAAUUGAUGCGGGAAACAAGAACCAGAGGCGGUGCCACACCUGUACAGGCCGAUACGUGUGACAGGUCUUGGACCAGAAGACGCUGUGAUCUACAAUGAAUCUUGAAUGUAUUUUUUCCCCUGCGCUGGUAAAGCCUCACCUUGAAUCCUGUGCCAGUUGUGGGCCCCUCACAGCAAGAAAGGCAUUGAGGUGCUGGAGUGUGUCCAGAGAAGGGGAAUGGUCUAGAGAGUAACUCCCUCAGGGGCAGCUGAGGGAGUUGAGGUCGUUUAGCCUGGAAAAAAGGAGACUCAGGGGAGACCUUAUUGUUCUCCACAACUACCUGAAAAGAGGCUGUAGUAAGAUGGGGGUCAUCCUCUUUUCCCAUGCAACUGGCAGCAGGACAAGAGGAGAUGGCCUCAAGUUCCACCAGGAGUGGUUCAGGUUGGACAUCAGGAAGAAUUUCUUCAUGGAAAGGGUUGCUGACCAUUGGAAUGGACUGGCCAGGGAAGGUGGUGGAGUCACCAGUGCUGGAGGUGUUUAAGAAGCGACUGAACUUUGUGCCAUGGUCUAGUUGACAAGGUGGUGGUUGGUUACAGCUUGGACUCAGUGAUCUUAGAGGUCUUUUCCAACCUAAUUGAGUCUGUGAUUUAUCUGAUUAAAACAGCAUUUCUUACUUAUUUUUUAUUCUUUCUUAAUGUCUGGACCUGACAAAGAGAGGACUCUUGGGGAAUAGAAUGCCAGAUUCUGCAUUCUGUUUCUGCAGUUUCCUUUCACAUGCUGUUCAGAGAUUCAUGGCAGCGAACUUCUCAAAGCCAUGAAGUGGAGACUUAUAUCUCUUCUUUUCAAGAACUUUGGAACCUUUUGCAUUUCAUGUGUGGUUUUUCUUACGCUCUGGGAAGUCUUUUCUGACUGGUGUGAGAUACAUCUACACCAGCACAAAGCCUGGAUGUGUUUUGGGAGAUAAACAUGGACUCAGAUCCUUAAUGUUUCAACUUCUACUCUUGCAAUAAACUUAGGAGAGUAUACAGUUUCUCUUAAAAAUAAAAUCAUAGCAACAGCCUCAUGACAAAUCACAGAAGUUUCCAGUCACUUUGUUUUGUAAUACAGAAGGACUUUGGUAUUCCUGUCUGUAGACACCACCUAAACACAGCUAUAGGUGAGGGCUGUACUAUAAACACUCUUUCCUGGUUUAUGACUGCUGUGAACGCAUUUUUCUGGUUGAAAUGCAGUGCAGAAGCUUGUGCUCUUUCUCUGCUACCUAGAGUAAUUGUAUUCUGAUCCACACUUUCCAAAAUCCACUUGACACUAACAAACCCUUCUUUUUAAAAAUUCAAACCACACAUUCAAACUAUGAAAACAUUUCAGAAGCUGGAAAACAAAUUUACAAAGGGAGAAAGUUGGACUUAGUAUGCUAGCUGAACAGAGUAACUCCAGCCACGUCACAUUCUGCGUCCCCUCAUGUGUGGCGUGUUAAGUAGAAUAACCCUUUGUAUAUCACAUCAAGAAGUUUUUGUUUUCACAACCAACCAAACCCCCUGCAUACAGUAAGGGCCAUACACCAGCUACUUAUA